RNAcentral lists this ribosomal RNA (247 nucleotides) under uncultured bacterium. RNAcentral's name for it is "partial 16S ribosomal RNA". It matches the Rfam family "Bacterial small subunit ribosomal RNA", at positions 84 to 334 of the family's 1533-position model. The record is from RNAcentral.
UUUGAUGGCGACCGGCGCACGGGUGAGUAACACGUAUCCAACCUGCCGAUGACUCGGGGAUAGCCUUUCGAAAGAAAGAUUAAUACCCGAUGGCAUAGUUCUUCCGCAUGGUAGAACUGUUAAAGAAUUUCGGUCAUCGAUGGGGAUGCGUUCCAUUAGGUUGUUGGCGGGGUAACGGCCCACCAGCUUCGAUGGAUAGGGGUUCUGAGAGGAAGGUCCCCCACAUUGGAACUGAGACACGGUCCAA